UAAUACGGAGGGUGCAAGCGUUAUCCGGAUUCACUGGGUUUAAAGGGUGCGUAGGUGGAUUGGUAAGUCCGUGGUGAAAUCUCUGAGCUUAACUCAGAAACUGCCAUGGAUACUAUCAGUCUUGAAUACCGUGGAGGUCAGUAGAAUAUGUCAUGUAGCGGUGAAAUGCUUAGAUAUGACAUAGAAUACCAAUUGCGAAGGCAGCUGGCUACGCGAAUAUUGACACUGAUGCACGAAAGCGUGGGGAUCAAACAGGAUUAGAUACCCUGGUAGUCCACGCCCUAAACUAUGGAUACUCGACAUACGCGAUACACUGUGUGUGUCUGAGCGAAAGCAUUAAGUAUCCCACCUGGGAAGUACGAUCGCAAGAUUG
Molecule: ribosomal RNA, 373 nt
Filed under: uncultured bacterium
Lineage: Bacteria
Description: bacterial SSU rRNA
Rfam family: Bacterial small subunit ribosomal RNA
Source: RNAcentral